Molecule: ribosomal RNA, 574 nt
Filed under: human gut metagenome
Description: bacterial LSU rRNA
Rfam family: Bacterial large subunit ribosomal RNA
Source: RNAcentral
GCAGUAUCCUGAGUAUGGCGGGACACGAGGAAUCCUGUCAGAAUUUGCCGGGACCACCCGGUAAGGCUAAAUACUCCCAAGAGACCGAUAGUGAACCAGUACCGUGAGGGAAAGGUGAAAAGUACCCCGAACAGGGGAGUGAAAUAGAACCUGAAACCAUACGCUUACAACCGGUCGGAGCGGCUUCGUGCCGUGACGGCGUGCCUAUUGAAUAAUGAGCCUACGAGUUACUAAUCACUGGCGAGGUUAAGUGCUAGGAAGCACGGAGCCGAAGCGAAAGCGAGUCUGAACAGGGCGGCCAGUCAGUGGUUGUAGACGCGAAACCUUGCGAUCUACCCUUGAGCAGGAUGAAGGUUGGGUAACACCAACUGGAGGUCCGAACGAAUAAGCGUUGAAAAGCUUCUCGAUGACUUGAGGGUAGGGGUGAAAGGCUAAUCAAGCUGGGAAAUAGCUCGUACUCCCCGAAAUGCCUUUAGGGGCAGCGUUGUAAUAAAGAGUCUACUGGAGGUAGAGCUACUGAUUGGAUGCGGGGGCUUCACCGCCUACCAAAUCCUGACAAACUCCGAAUGCCAGU